GAUGAACGCUGGCGGCGCGCCUAACGCAUGCAAGUCGAACGGCACCCCUCCUCGGAGGGCCGCGAGUGGCGAACGGCUGAGUAACACGUGGAGAACCUGCCCCCUCCCCCGGGAUAGCCGCCCGAAAGGACGGGUAAUACCGGAUACCCCGGGGUGCCGCAUGGCACCCCGGCUAAAGCCCCGACGGGAGGGGAUGGCUCCGCGGCCCAUCAGGUAGACGGCGGGGUGACGGCCCACCGUGCCGACAACGGGUAGCCGGGUUGAGAGACCGACCGGCCAGAUUGGGACUGAGACACGGCCCAGACUCCUACGGGAGGCAGCAGUGGGGAAUCUUGCGCAAUGGGGGGAACCCUGACGCAGCGACGCCGCGUGCGGGACGGAGGCCUUCGGGUCGGAAACCGCUUUCAGCAGGGAAGAGUCAAGACUGUACCUGCAGAAGAAGCCCCGGCUAACUACGUG
Molecule: ribosomal RNA, 459 nt
Filed under: uncultured bacterium
Lineage: Bacteria
Description: partial 16S ribosomal RNA
Rfam family: Bacterial small subunit ribosomal RNA
Source: RNAcentral